This 1158-nucleotide ribosomal RNA is filed under the name uncultured bacterium. RNAcentral's name for it is "bacterial SSU rRNA". It matches the Rfam family "Bacterial small subunit ribosomal RNA", at positions 245 to 1395 of the family's 1533-position model. The record is from RNAcentral.
CUAGUUGGUAAGGUGAAGGUUUCCCAAGGGGGACGAUGGGUAGCCGACCUGAGAGGGUGACCGGCCCCACUGGGACUGAGACACGGCCCCAGAUUCCUACGGGAGGCAGCAGUAGGGAAUCUUCCGCAAUGGGCGAAAGCCUGACGGAGCAACGCCGCGUGAGCGAAGAAGGCCUUCGGGUUGUAAAGCUCAGUCACUCGGGAAGAGCGACCUAAGGAGUGGAAAGCCUUAGGGGAGACGGUACCGAGGGAGGAAGCCCCGGCAAACUACGUGCCAGCAGCCGCGGUAAUACGUAGGGGGCAAGCGUUGUCCGGAAUCACUGGGCGUAAAGCGUGCGUAGGCGGUUUUUUGGGUCUGGGGUGAAAGUUCAGGGCUCAACCUUGAGAAUGCCUUGGAAACUAGAAGACUUGAGUGCUGGAGAGGCAAGGGGAAUUCCACGUGUAGCGGUGAAAUGCGUAGAGAUGUGGAGGAAUACCAGUGGCGAAGGCGCCUUGCUGGACAGUGGCUGACGCUGAGGCACGAAAGCGUGGGGAGCAAACAGGAUUAGAUACCCUGGUAGUCCACGCCGUAAACGAUGAGUGCUAGGUGUUGGGGGGUCAUACUCUCAGUGCCGAAGGAAACCCAAUAAGCACUCCGCCUGGGGAGUACGGUCGCAAGACUGAAACUCAAAGGAAUUGACGGGGGCCCGCACAAGCAGUGGAGCAUGUGGUUUAAUUCGAAGCAACGCGAAGAACCUUACCAGGGCUUGACAUCCCUCUGACCGGUACAGAGAUGGACCUUCCCUUCGGGGCAGAGGAGACAGGUGGUGCAUGGUUGUCGUCAGCUCGUGUCGUGAGAUGUUGGGUUAAGUCCCGCAACGAGCGCAACCCUUGAUCUGUGUUACCAGCACGUGAUGGUGGGGACUCACAGGUGACUGCCGGCGUAAGUCGGAGGAAGGUGGGGAUGACGUCAAAUCAUCAUGCCCUUUAUGUCCUGGGCGACACACGUGCUACAAUGGGCGGUACAACGGGAAGCGAGACCGCGAGGUGGAGCGAAACCUAAAAGCCGUUCGUAGUUCGGAUUGCAGGCUGCAACUCGCCUGCAUGAAGCCGGAAUUGCUAGUAAUCGCGGAUCAGCAUGCCGCGGUGAAUCCGUUCCCGGGCCUUGUACACACCGCCC